Molecule: long non-coding RNA, 1134 nt
Filed under: Homo sapiens (human)
Lineage: Eukaryota; Metazoa; Chordata; Mammalia; Primates; Hominidae
Description: non-protein coding NR2F1-AS1:49
Source: RNAcentral
ACACACAGUCGCUCACCCGCGCCGGGCGCCCGCCCGCCGGCCGCUCGGGCUACGCGCAGCGCGCGGGCUGAGCCGACAUAGAGGAAGCCGGCGAGGGCGGAGGCGGCGGCGGCGGCGGAGGAGGAGGAGGUCGCGGCUGCAGGCGCCGCUGGAGCUGCCGCCGGAGCUGCUGCGGCGAGCGCCGCUGGAGGAGCCGGGACCCGGGCCGGAGUCCGAGCAGGAGUCGGGGCCGCAGCCGGAGCGCGAGCGGAGGCCGGGGCCGCCCGCGGCGCCGCCGCUGUCCCGGCGGGAGCCCUCGCCGGGCUCGGGAGUGCGGGGAGCGCGGUGAGCCGAGCAGGGCGCUGGGCGAGGCUGCCGCCGGCGAUCAGGGCGCGCGGGUGUCGGGGGGCCAGGUCCAGGGCCGGACGCAGCCAGCCAUUCAGGAAGGCAGCGCUGGAGAGCGGGAGGCAGCCGGCGAGGAAGAUCACACACUUUGCUCUUUUUGUUGUGCCGGUGGCGCCGGGCUCUCGCUGCCUUCUUCUUUCGGGAGGUGACGGAAGGGGGAGAAAAAUACGGGAUAAUUCACGCCGGCGACGAAAUCACAGCGAAAUAGAAAAAAUAAAAAUCAGAAGAAAAUAAUUGCCAAAAAAAGGAAAAAGGAAAAGCGAGAGAGACAUCCAAAACAGGGACUGAGAAACGGAAAUACUACCAUCCUCCAGCCAAUCUGUUGGGAGGACUGCUUGCAGAGGACUCGUGCUCCAGAUGUUGCACUAGAGGCGCUGCAAGUGUGAGCAGCAGGUAGAUGAAACUCAAGAGAAAAGGUGUGGAUAAAUGAAACUAGCCCAUGAUGAACCUGUUUUCUCCGUGACCACAAUAUUAACCAGGAUGAAUGGCGGUGGCAGUGGGCCUGCAUCACAGGUUGCAGCAGAUGUUCUCAAUAUUUCUAUUAAAAUUUCCUUAUUUCCAUAUGCAAGAGGAGCCCCAGAGCUGCAUCCUUAUGGUAGCUACCAUGCCGUGAUGUAAGCUGCCAUUCACUGGGGAGCUUUGGCAAUAGAAUUGGCUAGAUCAGGAAGCCUAUGUCAACUAUGGAACAACAACUUGCAGCUCAUCUCUAUUGAUGAGUAAAAGAAUAUGGAAUUUUAGCUCCAGAUCAAU